CCUACGGGAGGCAGCAGUGAGGAAUAUUGGUCAAUGGACGCAAGUCUGAACCAGCCAUGCCGCGUGCAGGAAGACGGCUCUGUGAGUUGUAAACUGCUUUUGUACGAGGAUAAACGCAGAUACGCGUAUCUGUCUGAAAGUAUCGUACGAAUAAGGAUCGGCUAACUCCGUGCCAGCAGCCGCGGUAAUACGGAGGAUUCAAGCGUUAUCCGGAUUUAUUGGGUUUAACGGGUGCGUAGGCGGUCGGAUAAGUUAGAGGUGAAAUCCCGAGGCUCAACUUCGGAAUUGGCUAUGAUACUGUUCGGCUAGAGAGUAGUUGAGGUAGGUGGAAUGUAUGGUGUAGCGGUGAAAUGCUUAGAGAUCAUACAGAACACCGAUUGCGAAGGCAGCUUACC
RNAcentral lists this ribosomal RNA (395 nucleotides) under uncultured bacterium. RNAcentral describes it as "partial 16S ribosomal RNA". It matches the Rfam family "Bacterial small subunit ribosomal RNA", at positions 338 to 730 of the family's 1533-position model. The record is from RNAcentral.